GGCAAGACAAUCUUAAUAACAGGGGCAAGUCGUGGAAUAGGCAAAGCAAUUGCACUAAAACUAGCAAAAAACGGGGCAAAUGUCUCAAUUGGGUCAAAAACCGUCAAUCCACACCCAGUCCUACCAGGCACUAUAUACUCCACAGUAAAUGAAAUAAGUAAUGCUGGAGGGAGAGGACUGGCAUGUGAACUGGAUAUUCGCAACGAAAAUGCUAUCGAACAAGCUGUGGAAAAAACAGUGGAUACUUUUGGAGGGAUUGAUGUGCUUAUUAACAAUGCCAGUGCCAUCACUUUGUCCUCACUUGAAGACCUGGAAACUAAGAAACUAGACCUAAUGCUCAACAUCAACAUACGCGGCACACUACUUUGUAUAAAACAUUGUAUUAAAUAUUUAUUAAAAUCUUCUAAUCCUCAUGUUAUCAAUCUGAGUCCCCCUCUGCCCCUUCAUCAUAACUGGUAUCGGACUCACUCAGCUUACACUGUGACCAAGGCGGCAAUGUCAGGUCUGAUCACCGGACUGGCCAAGGACUACAAGAGCAGAGGAGUGGCCUUCAAUGCACUGUGGCCCAAAACUACAAUAAAAACCGCGGCAAUUGAUAUGGUUUGUGGCGGGAAAAUCGAGGCGAAAAACUUUUGUCGGAGUCCGGAGAUAAUGGCAGAUGCCGCCUUUGAAGUUUUGAAGAAAAAUAGCAGGGAUUUUAGCGGGAAUUUUUGCAUAGAUGAAGAAAUUUUAAAAAGUGCAGGAAUUGUGGAUUUUUCUAAAUAUAAUUAUA
Molecule: long non-coding RNA, 772 nt
Organism: Octopus sinensis (East Asian common octopus)
Lineage: Eukaryota; Metazoa; Mollusca; Cephalopoda; Octopoda; Octopodidae
Exons: 4
Source: RefSeq, a predicted model, not a curated record